CACGUAGGCCCCAAGCGUUGUCCGGAUUUAUUGGGCGUAAAGAGCUCGUAGGCGGUUCAGUAAGUCGGGUGUGAAAACUUUGGGCUUAACCCAAAGCGUGCAUCCGAUACUGCUGUGACUUGAGUUCGGUAGGGGAGCAGGGAAUUCCUAGUGUAGCGGUGAAAUGCGCAGAUAUUAGGAGGAACACCGGUGGCGAAGGCGGCUCACUGGACCGUAUCUGACGCUGAGGUGCGAAAGCUAGGGUAGCAAACGGG
RNAcentral lists this ribosomal RNA (254 nucleotides) under uncultured bacterium. RNAcentral describes it as "partial 16S ribosomal RNA". It matches the Rfam family "Bacterial small subunit ribosomal RNA", at positions 524 to 776 of the family's 1533-position model. The record is from RNAcentral.